GAUGAAGAACGUAGCGAAAUGUGAUACUUGGUGUGAAUUGCAGAAUCCCGUGAACCAUCGAGUCUUUGAACGCAAGUUGCGCCCGAAGCCACUAGGCCGAGGGCACGCCUGCCUGGGCGUCACACGCCGUUGCCCCCCCAUCUACUCCUUCGGGAUUGCGGGGGGGCGGAUGAUGGCCUCCCGUGCGCCUAGCCGCGCGGUUGGCAUAAAUACCAAGUCCUCGGCGACGCACGCCACGACAAUCGGUGGUUGCGAAACCUCGGUUGCCCGUCGUGUGCGUUCGUCGCGCAUCGAGGGCUCGAAAAAAUGCUCGGCUCCGGCUGGGCUUUCAACGCGACCCCAGGUCAGGCGGGGUUACCCGCUGAAUUUAAGCAAAUCAAUAAGCGGAGGA
This 391-nucleotide unclassified non-coding RNA is filed under the name soil metagenome. Its description in RNAcentral is "partial contains 5.8S ribosomal RNA, internal transcribed spacer 2, and large subunit ribosomal RNA". The stretch from base 1 to 122 matches the Rfam family "5.8S ribosomal RNA", at positions 35 to 154 of the family's 154-position model. The record is from RNAcentral.